This 423-nucleotide ribosomal RNA is filed under the name uncultured bacterium. Its description in RNAcentral is "partial 16S ribosomal RNA". It matches the Rfam family "Bacterial small subunit ribosomal RNA", at positions 360 to 775 of the family's 1533-position model. The record is from RNAcentral.
AAUUUUGGACAAUGGGCGAAAGCCUGAUCCAGCAAUGCCGCGUGCAGGAUGAAGGCCUUCGGGUUGUAAACUGCUUUUGUACGGAACGAAAAGCUUUGGGUUAAUACCUGGGAGUCAUGACGGUACCGUAAGAAUAAGCACCUGCUGACUCCGUGGCAGCAGCCGAGGUAAUACGGAGGGUUCUAGCGUUAAUCGGUAUUACUGGGCGUAAAGGGGGCGCAGGCGGUUUUGUAAAAUAGAGGUGAAAUCCCCGGGCUCAACCUGGGAACUGCCUUUGUGACUGCAAGGCUAGAGUACGGCAGGGGGGGGUGGAAUUCCGCGUGUAGCAGUGAAAUGCGUAGAUAUGCGGAGGAACACCGAUGGCGAAGGCAACCCCCUGGGCCUGUACUGACGCUCAUGCACGAAAGCGUGGGGAGCAAACAG